CCUACGGGAGGCAGCAGUGGGGAAUAUUUGGCAAUGGGCGCAAGCCUGACCCAGCAACGCCGCGUGAAGGAAGACGGCUUUCGGGUUGUAAACUUCUUUUGUCAGGGACGAAGCACGUGACGGUACCUGACGAAUAAGCCACGGCUAACUACGUGCCAGCAGCCGCGGUAAUACGUAGGGGGCAAGCGUUAUCCGGAUUUACUGGGUGUAAAGGGCGUGUAGGCGGGACUGCAAGUCAGAUGUGAAAACCACGGGCUCAACCUGUGGCCAGCAUUGGAAACUGUAGGUCUUGAGUACUGGAGAGGCAGACGGAAGUCCUAGUGUAGCGGUGAAAUGCGUAGAUAUUAGGAGGAACACCAGUUGCGAAGGCGGUCUGCUGGACAGCAACUGACGCUGAGGCGCGAAAGCGUGGGGAGCAAACAGGAUUAGAUACCCGAGUAGUC
This 443-nucleotide ribosomal RNA is filed under the name uncultured bacterium. Its description in RNAcentral is "partial 16S ribosomal RNA". It matches the Rfam family "Bacterial small subunit ribosomal RNA", at positions 338 to 795 of the family's 1533-position model. The record is from RNAcentral.